UAAUGUAUGGGGAUCUGCCCGAUAGAGGGGGAUAACUACUGUAAACGGUGGCUAAUACCGCAUAAUGUCUACGGACCAAAGCAGGGGCUCUUCGGACCUUGCACUAUCGGAUGAACCCAUAUGGGAUUAGCUAGUAGGUGGGGUAAAGGCUCACCUAGGCGACGAUCUCUAGCUGGUCUGAGAGGAUGAUCAGCCACACUGGGACUGAGACACGGCCCAG
This 220-nucleotide ribosomal RNA is filed under the name uncultured bacterium. Its description in RNAcentral is "partial 16S ribosomal RNA". It matches the Rfam family "Bacterial small subunit ribosomal RNA", at positions 111 to 334 of the family's 1533-position model. The record is from RNAcentral.